UGCAAGUCGAACGAUGAACCACCUUCGGGUGGGGAUUAGUGGCGAACGGGUGAGUAACACGUGGGCAAUCUGCCCUGCACUCUGGGACAAGCCCUGGAAACGGGGUCUAAUACCGGAUACUGACCCUCGCAGGCAUCUGCGAGGUUCGAAAGCUCCGGCGGUGCAGGAUGAGCCCGCGGCCUAUCAGCUAGUUGGUGAGGUAAUGGCUCACCAAGGCGACGACGGGUAGCCGGCCUGAGAGGGCGACCGGCCACACUGGGACUGAGACACGGCCCAGACUCCUACGGGAGGCAGCAGUGGGGAAUAUUGCACAAUGGGCGAAAGCCUGAUGCAGCGACGCCGCGUGAGGGAUGACGGCCUUCGGGUUGUAAACCUCUUUCAGCAGGGAAGAAGCGAAAGUGACGGUACCUGCAGAAGAAGCGCCGGCUAACUACGUGCCAGCAGCCGCGGUAAUACGUAGGGCGCAAGCGUUGUCCGGAAUUAUUGGGCGUAAAGAGCUCGUAGGCGGCUUGUCACGUCGGUUGUGAAAGCCCGGGGCUUAACCCCGGGUCUGCAGUCGAUACGGGCAGGCUAGAGUUCGGUAGGGGAGAUCGGAAUUCCUGGUGUAGCGGUGAAAUGCGCAGAUAUCAGGAGGAACACCGGUGGCGAAGGCGGAUCUCUGGGCCGAUACUGACGCUGAGGAGCGAAAGCGUGGGGAGCGAACAGGAUUAGAUACCCUGGUAGUCCACGCCGUAAACGGUGGGCACUAGGUGUGGGCAACAUUCCACGUUGUCCGUGCCGCAGCUAACGCAUUAAGUGCCCCGCCUGGGGAGUACGGCCGCAAGGCUAAACUCAAAGGAAUUGACGGGGGCCCGCACAAGCGGCGGAGCAUGUGGCUUAAUUCGACGCAACGCGAAGAACCUUACCAAGGCUUGAUCUCAAAGCCGG
RNAcentral lists this ribosomal RNA (927 nucleotides) under Streptomyces mutabilis. RNAcentral describes it as "bacterial SSU rRNA". It matches the Rfam family "Bacterial small subunit ribosomal RNA", at positions 56 to 996 of the family's 1533-position model. The record is from RNAcentral. Lineage: Bacteria; Bacillati; Actinomycetota; Actinomycetes; Kitasatosporales; Streptomycetaceae.